Molecule: ribosomal RNA, 745 nt
Filed under: uncultured bacterium
Lineage: Bacteria
Description: bacterial SSU rRNA
Rfam family: Bacterial small subunit ribosomal RNA
Source: RNAcentral
GGGUGAGUAACACGUAUCCAACCUGCCCUCUACUCGGGGAUAGCCUUUCGAAAGAAAGAUUAAUACCCGAUAGUAUAAUCAUUCCGCAUGGUCUGAUUAUUAAAGGAUUCCGGUAAAGGAUGGGGAUGCGUUCCAUUAGGUUGUUGGUGAGGUAACGGCCCACCAAGCCUUCGAUGGAUAGGGGUUCUGAGAGGAAGGUCCCCCACAUUGGAACUGAGACACGGUCCAAACUCCUACGGGAGGCAGCAGUGAGGAAUAUUGGUCAAUGGGCGCGAGCCUGAACCAGCCAAGUAGCGUGAAGGAUGACUGCCCUAUGGGUUGUAAACUUCUUUUAUAUUAGAAUAAAGUGCAGUAUGUAUACUGUUUUGUAUGUAUAAUAUGAAUAAGGAUCGGCUAACUCCGUGCCAGCAGCCGCGGUAAUACGGAGGAUCCGAGCGUUAUCCGGAUUUAUUGGGUUUAAAGGGAGCGUAGGUGGACUGGUAAGUCAGUUGUGAAAGUUUGCGGCUCAACCGUAAAAUUGCAGUUGAUACUGUCAGUCUUGAGUACAGUAGAGGUGGGCGGAAUUCGUGGUGUAGCGGUGAAAUGCUUAGAUAUCACGAAGAACUCCGAUUGCGAAGGCAGCUCACUGGACUGCAACUGACACUGAUGCUCGAAAGUGUGGGUAUCAAACAGGAUUAGAUACCCUGGUAGUCCACACAGUAAACGAUGAAUACUCGCUGUUUGCGAUAUACAGUAAGCGGCCAAG